GACGAACGCUGGCGGCGUGCUUAACACAUGCAAGUCGAACGGAAAGGCCCUGCUUGCAGGGUGCUCGAGUGGCGAACGGGUGAGUAACACGUGGGUGAUCUGCCCCUUACUUUGGGAUAAGCCUGGGAAACUGGGUCUAAUACUGGGUAGGACCAUGCUGUAGGUGGUGUGGUGGAAAGAUUAGUUUCGGUAAGGGAUGAGCUCGCGGCCUAUCAGCUUGUUGGUGGGGUAAUGGCCUACCAAGGCGUCGACGGGUAGCCGGCCUGAGAGGGUGGACGGCCACAUUGGGACUGAGAUACGGCCCAGACUCCUACGGGAGGCAGCAGUGGGGAAUAUUGCACAAUGGGCGCAAGCCUGAUGCAGCGACGCCGCGUGGGGGAUGACGGCCUUCGGGUUGUAAACUCCUUUCAGCCAUGACGAAGCCCUUGUGGUGACGGUAGUGGUAGAAGAAGCACCGGCUAACUACGUG
RNAcentral lists this ribosomal RNA (469 nucleotides) under uncultured bacterium. RNAcentral's name for it is "partial 16S ribosomal RNA". It matches the Rfam family "Bacterial small subunit ribosomal RNA", at positions 28 to 507 of the family's 1533-position model. The record is from RNAcentral.